This 118-nucleotide ribosomal RNA is filed under the name uncultured bacterium. Its description in RNAcentral is "partial 16S ribosomal RNA". The record is from RNAcentral.
UAGGGAAUAUUAGGCAAUGGGGGGAACCCUGACGCAAGAAAGCCGGGUGAAGAAGAAAGCCUUUGGGUAAUAAAGCUAUUUUUACGGUGAGAUAAGACGUACCGAGAGAGUCGUCAAC